Long non-coding RNA from Triticum aestivum (bread wheat), 1222 nucleotides. RefSeq lists it as uncharacterized. The transcript is spliced from 2 exons. Lineage: Eukaryota; Viridiplantae; Streptophyta; Magnoliopsida; Poales; Poaceae. The record is from RefSeq and is a predicted model, not a curated record.
CCCGGCCCCGAAUCAGGCUCACCUUAUCCAUGCAGGAAACCAGCAGCUCACCGCACACACUCGCACGGGAUGGAGGGAUGAAAGAGGGUAGCUGCGGCAGCUCGUCGACGGCGGCCGCGGCGGCUCCGUGGAGGGAGCCAGAGGCCCGGCGACGCCAUGGACGCGCCUGCGACGGGGGGCGACGCCGUGGGAGUCCUCCCCGAGGGCGUUCUCCCGUCGGCCAGUGGGGGUCUCGCCCUCCAUGGGAUCUCGCCGCGGUUGGAGGUGUGGACGGUGUAGAUGCUGCUCACGGAGGCGAGCUCGUGCCGGUGGCUGCCGCAGUGGCAUGCCCGGAGACCGCGGCGGAGGAUCUCCUCCGGGACGCUAACCAGGCAGGGGUUGCCGUGGCGGCGCGCUCAAGCGCUCAUGCUUGGGGCGGCUCCGGCGACGCUUGAGGAGCUGCGCAAUUGCAGAGUGCAGGCGGUCGUCCGGGGAGCGCGCGCCGUCAGUGCUGGCGGAGAGGAGCGGCGGCAAAACGACGCGUCUACCACGUGAGGCUCGGGUUGCCGGUAAGGCCGCGGCUGCGCGUGCAACAUCCUCCAGACGGCGCUGAACAGGGCAGGCACGGGUGAACGAGGAGGCCGCCUUCAUCCCAGCGAGAUCCAGUGUCCCCGCAGCCACCGUACGUUGGAGUGUUGUGGCAGCUCGCCGGGAUGGCUCGCGCCGAUGCUAGGCGCGGUCGCUGGUCUCCAUGCCCAAUGGCCAGAGAUGGCUCGCGCUGCUGCUCUGCGCGUUGAUGGUCUCCCCGCCCGGUGCCAGGUUGGCCCAGCUCGGCGUGCCCCUGUGGCCGUGUUCCUAUUCUGCAACACUACCAGCAAAAGGAGCAAGCCGGGGCGUUCAACAAUUGUUCAAUCUUGUACUUCAUCCCCUCUCCAUGCUUCGACCCGCCAAAUCCCAUCAGGAAACUUUUUUUCAACGUGGACAGUGCUUUCAACCCCUAUGUCAUUCCCUCCCAAUGAUUCAUUUGAUCAUGCCGUGCAUGAAUGCCUGUUAAGAAUAUUCAUGAGAUGCCUGUUUAGAACAUUCAGGUAAUGCCGAGUGAGCAUAUUCCCUCUCUUCACGUUGCUACUGAUGUAUGCGUAGUGGCCAUUGGCCCAUGAAUCAACCAUUUUACUUUCCGAUUCAAUGAAUUCUUAAGAUGCAACUGUUUCAUGGACACUUACACGCAUUUUUUCUGAUGUUA